GCGAAUCAAUUAAGAGGGACAAGGGGAAGGCCAUAUCAGAACAUGAUAAAAAGAAAAGGAAGGAGAAGAAAGGGAGGAAAAAGCACAGGAAAGAGGAGAAGGGAGCCUGUUACAGUGAGGUUACAUAUAAGCAACUGGAUAAAAGACUGCCUCCAAAGGGAAAAGAGGAGGAAGGUGAAAGGAGUGAUUUGACAGAAGAGCAUGACCAGCCUGUGUGUUCUCAGAACCUUACUUCAUCAGACAGCACUCGGAGCAGCAACAAGAGAAAAAGAGAUAAUUCUGCAUGGAAUUUGGUACUACGAAUUCAGCUACCCAUGCAAAAACAGAGGGAUCCCUAUGCAUCUGCCAUUGGAGAGCAGUUGUGUUCUACUUCUGGGA
Molecule: unclassified non-coding RNA, 378 nt
Filed under: Hevea brasiliensis (rubber tree)
Lineage: Eukaryota; Viridiplantae; Streptophyta; Magnoliopsida; Malpighiales; Euphorbiaceae
Source: RNAcentral